GACGAACGCUGGCGGCGUGCUUAACACAUGCAAGUCGAACGGAAAGGCCUAGCUUGCUGGGUACUCGAGUGGCGAACGGGUGAGUAACACGUGGGUGAUCUGCCCCUGACUUUGGGAUAAGCCUGGGAAACUGGGUCUAAUACCGGAUAUUCAUUUUUCCUCGCAUGGGGAUUUGUGGAAAGCUUUUGCGGUUGGGGAUGGGCCCGCGGCCUAUCAGCUUGUUGGUGGGGUAAUGGCCUACCAAGGCGACGACGGGUAGCCGACCUGAGAGGGUGAUCGGCCACACUGGGACUGAGACACGGCCCAGACUCCUACGGGAGGCAGCAGUGGGGAAUAUUGCACAAUGGGCGCAAGCCUGAUGCAGCGACGCCGCGUGAGGGAUGACGGCCUUCGGGUUGUAACCUCUUUCAGCUCCGACGAAGCGCAAGUGACGGUAGGAGCAGAAGAAGCACCGGCCAACUACGUG
RNAcentral lists this ribosomal RNA (466 nucleotides) under uncultured bacterium. RNAcentral describes it as "partial 16S ribosomal RNA". It matches the Rfam family "Bacterial small subunit ribosomal RNA", at positions 28 to 507 of the family's 1533-position model. The record is from RNAcentral.